CAGACAACUAUUAUGCAUUUUUCAACCAAGCUUUUGCAAAAGGAGAAGACGCAGCAAAUUGCUCCUCUGAACAGCUCACCAUGUGUUCUGAAGCUCUGCAGUAGAACUUGCCUUUUAUCAACACAAAACAAAAGAAAGGGGGCUGGUGCUGAUAAGAUUAGGAGCCCCCAGGAACUAACACAAACAAAAGCAGUUUUACGACUAAGGAAUCUCUCCGUAGGGGGGGGCACAGAGUAUAAACAAACACAGGUUUACGACUAAGGAAUCUCUCAGAAGACCAUCUUCAAAGAACAUGUUUUAAGGGUUAAAGAAAGGUUAGAUCUGUCUCACACACAUGUUCACUUUAACCAAU
This is a long non-coding RNA of Xiphophorus couchianus (Monterrey platyfish), 352 nucleotides long. RefSeq lists it as uncharacterized. NCBI's taxonomy places the organism in Eukaryota, Metazoa, Chordata, Actinopteri, Cyprinodontiformes, Poeciliidae. The record is from RefSeq and is a predicted model, not a curated record. The transcript has 3 exons.